RNAcentral lists this ribosomal RNA (497 nucleotides) under uncultured bacterium. Its description in RNAcentral is "partial 16S ribosomal RNA". It matches the Rfam family "Bacterial small subunit ribosomal RNA", at positions 28 to 507 of the family's 1533-position model. The record is from RNAcentral.
GAUGAACGCUGGCGGCGUGCCUAAUACAUGCAAGUCGAGCGAACAGAUAAGGAGCUUGCUCCUUUGACGUUAGCGGCGGACGGGUGAGUAACACGUGGGUAACCUACCUAUAAGACUGGAAUAACUCCGGGAAACCGGGGCUAAUGCCGGAUAACAUUUAGAACCGCAUGGUUCUAAAGUGAAAGAUGGUUUUGCUAUCACUUAUAGAUGGACCCGCGCCGUAUUAGCUAGUUGGUAAGGUAACGGCUUACCAAGGCAACGAUACGUAGCCGACCUGAGAGGGUGAUUGGCCAGACUGGAACUGAGACACGGUCCAGACUCCUACGGGAGGCAGCAGUAGGGAAUCUUCCGCAAUGGGCGAAAGCCUGACGGAGCAACGCCGCGUGAGUGAUGAAGGUCUUCGGAUCGUAAAACUCUGUUAUUAGGGAAGAACAAAUGUGUAAGUAACUGUGCACGUCUUGACGGUACCUAAUCAGAAAGCCACGGCUAACUACGUG